GUAAACGCUUCUAAUAUCCGCGUAUUAUAUGGUGAUACGUAUUAGAAAGAUAUUAGUAUAGUAUAAUAGAAGUAUAGUAGAGGUAAAAGUAAACAUAUAAUUGAAAUAUAGUAGAGAAGUAAAAGUAGAAGUAAAAGAAUUAGAUUUUCUUGAAAACCACAAAUACUUUAUAACAAAAUUAAUUAUAGAAAAUUAUGUUAAAUUAAAUUAAAUUAAAUUAAAUUAUGUUAAAUUAGAUAAGAAAUUAGAUUAGAAAAAACGAUUGCACUAUUUAUUUUAUAAUUAUCUGUUGAUUGUUAGAAUAAAAGGAAAGUGUACGGAGUAUUUUAGAAGUGUACUUAAUCGAUCGCAAAUGUCGUUUUGUGGAUAUAUCUGUUUAUCUUAUCGUACUUUGCAAGAUUUUUUAGCAUACGUUUUCUUGCUCGACGUCACUAAAAAGAGAUGGAUGGUGCGACUCCUCAGGAGCUUUAAAGAUGUCUUAUGGCCCGAUAUUGGACAUUAUACUGUCUGGCAUAUAUACCUGAAGAAAGAAAAUGCACGAUGCAUGAUGUACAAAAAGUUGUACAAGAAUGGUUGCGCCACGCAAGAGAUCGCAUUAUAUAUAAUACGAAACAAAAAUAAUAUAAAAAUGUAUAUUAUAAAUUAAAAAUAUUAUAUAUUAUUAAUUGUAAUUAUAAAAAAUAAAUAUUAAGAAAAUUAUUAAAAAAUA
Molecule: long non-coding RNA, 709 nt
Organism: Odontomachus brunneus
Lineage: Eukaryota; Metazoa; Arthropoda; Insecta; Hymenoptera; Formicidae
Exons: 2
Source: RefSeq, a predicted model, not a curated record